Molecule: long non-coding RNA, 2679 nt
Filed under: Amazona collaria (yellow-billed parrot)
Lineage: Eukaryota; Metazoa; Chordata; Aves; Psittaciformes; Psittacidae
Description: lncRNA (ENSACOG00000010624.1)
Source: RNAcentral
AAAAACUGUAAGCUUCCAUGUUCUGAUAAUUCCUUUCUUAAUGUUCUGUUUUCUAGGUAAGUACUCUGUAUUCUUCUUAAUUAAGCUGACAGAAAACCUAACAUUCGUCUCAGCCUUCUUGAAAUGCAAUAAAAGAGGUAGAAACCAAAGCAACAAAAAUGAAGGACCACUUGGCGUGAAGGCUUGUUCCAGAUACGUUCAAGCAAGACUCUGCCAACUUGGAGAUAAAGCGGUUCUCAAAACCUUCCAGCAAGCAACGUGGUGUCAGCUGUGUCAAAUAUACAAAGUUAAGAGGAUCACAUGACAAGUGUAAGAGUGCCAUUAGUCUUUUCUGACUGAUUAUGCUCGUGCUUCUCCUUUCCGCUAUCCAGAGGGGGUAAAAUCUUUCAGUUGUCCACAGUGAGAUCUGCACUGUCACUUGCAGAAAACAAAAGCAGUUGUGGCCGUUGCAAUUCACCCAAAUUCAGGUAGGAAAUAACCUACCUGCCUCUGCCUCAGGGCUUCCAGUGCAUUUUUCCUGAAACUUCCCUCUGUCUUUUUACUGUUUCAGUUAUACCUGAGAUGGCAUUCUAUGUCAUCUGAUAACUGUUCACAGUUUUAACUUCAAGCCACAGAGAACAUUCAAAUGUCAACAAGGGUCACUUCUAGUAUUUUAAGUACAGAAUUCUAAGAUUCAGAUUAGCAUCAAUGCUACAGAGCAGAAUUUAUUUUCUUCACUAGUUUAAGGCUCUGAUAACACAAGAGGAAGUAGUCUUUAUUGGUAGUUUUUAGCAAAGCCAUAUGUUUAACAGCUUUCAAUGGACUUUAAAAUUCAGGUGCUGAAGGGAAAACCAGCCUUUGCUACAAAGCGUCAAAAGUUUUGUGAUGAUGUUGACUUGCACAUUACUGUAGAUGAUUGUGUGUGGAUGACUCUUACGUUAAAAGGGGGAAAAUAAACCUCUUGUUUUGUUCUCCAAUAUGUAACUACCAGUCCGGCCGCAUUCUCUAUUUCGAGCCUUACUGAUCCGGAUUCACUGAUAGUGGUAAACAAACCCCUUGCUUUAUUAGAGGAAGGACAGGAAAUGGCUCCAAUAUGCAACUACCAGUCUGGCCGCGUUCGCUAUUUCGAGCCUUACUGAUCCGGAUUCACCGAUAGUGUACCACACUGUCCAGUCCAACCAGCUGCAACUGUCAGUCCGGCCGCGUUCGCUAUUUCGAACCUUACUGUUCCGGAUUCACCGAUAGUGCACCACAACGAGAAAUGGGGUUGUAUUCAGUGAGAAAAUUAGUUUAUUGACACAAUAGACACAGGUUCUUAUGGAUUGCCGGUGAUAGAGACUGUCUGCAAAAGCACGUGCGAAUAAUGAUUACAUGAAUACAAGCGCUUGAUAAAGUUAACACAGCAUAGCUAUAAAAUAUACAGAUGACAGUAAAAGUAACUCUAUAGAGAUUCUAAGUUUUCCCAGGGAAGCGCAGAAUACAGUGCAGGUCUUACCCACAGGUGUCCCUAUGGGGGGGGAAGAGAGGUCCAGCCCGUCGACCGGUCCCAGGAGUCGGUUGAUGUUAUUUUCCUUGACUCGUCCACGAUGGUAUCCUCCCCAAUAUCCCCCUCUUUCUUUAGUUUUUUAUAUUAUUUUUUAUCUUUAAGGUGGAGCUUGAGUGACUCUAGUCAUACGUACUAUUAUUAUUACUCAGAGAGGGGUGAUCUCAUUUUGGAGGGGGGGUCGCAUUGGAGAUGUGUGAGUAAUUGCUUUAUAAUGACGUUAUAAUGAAGCAAAGUCCACACUGAGGACAGCAUUCUGUCAAAAGAUGACAGGCUGCUGGCCCAGGGUAGGAAGUGUGCAGCUUAUCGGCUUUUGCAAGGUCUCCACCUCACUCUACCACGCAGCUUAUCAGCUUCUUGCACCAUCUUGUUCCCGUCUUUGUGCUGAAGUUAGGACAAAGCGUAGCUGCGAGAUUUCCACCUCGCCCUACCCUUCGUCUUCGUCUUCGUGUUGCCACUGGAACUGCGGUGGAGUGCACAUUACUGGCAUACCCGGUGCGGCUGCAUCUCGCCCUGAGAGGCCUUGAAAGUCCGUUUUUCCCUUAUGUGUGGACAAUGCUACAUUUCAAAUAUAAGUUUAAUUCCUAAUUAUCCCAUAUUUCCUAAUUAUUCCACAAUGACUAUUUACAAUAUAAAAUUGAGAUAAUGGCUUGAUUUUUAUUUUUCUACUCAUUUUUAUUGUUACCUUCAACACAUGCUCAUAAAAUUUGAGAGGGCUUUGAAGUAAUUUUUGCAAAUACUCAUUAUGGUUUUCCCUAACUCUUGCUCUGCAGCUCACCCUGCUGGAAAGAGGUGACUCAUUUCAUACAAUGAAGCCAUUUUGUAGAGAAUGAUUUCCUAUGAGAUGGUGGUGGGUUGUGUUUUAUCUUGAUAGAAAUCAGAACUUAUCCAUAGUAGGCAUAGAACAAAAACAGGUACAUCCAUUACACAGGAAGAGAGAACCACUAACUACUAAUUAUUUUCAGUGGUUUGAAAAGAGAAAGGAAAGCCUACCCAACACUUCCUGCAGGAGAAAUACACCCAUUUCAAAUAAAAUCAUAAUAGCAUACCUGUCACAGUGCCAUAUGAAGUAAUGCAGGAGUUGUGCCCCCGUGUGCGAAAGCAGAUUAUCACCAGGGGAGCAGGGAGUGAGAGAGCUGCUGUGUGGUGGUUAGUUG